This is a long non-coding RNA of Dermacentor silvarum, 533 nucleotides long. RefSeq lists it as uncharacterized. NCBI's taxonomy places the organism in Eukaryota, Metazoa, Arthropoda, Arachnida, Ixodida, Ixodidae. The record is from RefSeq and is a predicted model, not a curated record. The transcript has 4 exons.
UCCCAGUAUAGAUUUCCUAUCAGGUUGGGUAUUUUGCAAACAUGCACAAAUCAAUUGUCUUUGCAGUUUUGGCUUUCACGCUCAGCGUACUGCUAAUCGUGAUUGAUGCUAAGCAACUAAAGAAGGCAAAGGAUGAUCCAUGUGACAGGAGAAACCAUACCUGCUGGUACCCCGAGAUGUGCAAAACCUGCCCACCGAAAAUCCAGAAUGGUUACGUACGAGACUACACAUACUACUUCGACAAAGAUACUGAGACGUGCGUCAGUAUUGUUGGAAGCAGUGACAGUUGCAACAACUUUGACACUAUUGAAGACUGCGAGCACAAGUGCGGGAUAAGCUCAGAAGAUGAAGACUAGGAGCUCUGCUAGCUUGAGGCGGAUCUAGAAUUGGAAGAAAUAAGCGGGAUCUAUUCGUCACUGGCAAUACGCGUAUAUUCUAACUGAGCAAUAUUUACAGUGAAACAUUGUCCAAAAAUGCGGUGGUGGUAACUAUUAUCUGGAAAAUAUAUAGAAAUAAAAUCUUCGCAAUUGAAA